UCCCUGGUGGCUCAGCUGGUGAAGAGUCCGCCUGCAAUGCAGGAGACCCUGGUUCAAUUCCUGGGUCAGGGAG
Non-coding RNA from Bos taurus (domestic cattle), 73 nucleotides. The record is from Rfam. NCBI's taxonomy places the organism in Eukaryota, Metazoa, Chordata, Mammalia, Artiodactyla, Bovidae.